Molecule: ribosomal RNA, 653 nt
Filed under: Cryocola sp.
Lineage: Bacteria; Bacillati; Actinomycetota; Actinomycetes; Micrococcales; Microbacteriaceae
Description: bacterial SSU rRNA
Rfam family: Bacterial small subunit ribosomal RNA
Source: RNAcentral
GCAUCUCCAGUGCGUGGAAAGAACUUCGGUCAAGGAUGGACUCGCGGCCUAUCAGGUAGUUGGUGAGGUAAAGGCUCACCAAGCCUACGACGGGUAGCCGGCCUGAGAGGGUGACCGGCCACACUGGGACUGAGACACGGCCCAGACUCCUACGGGAGGCAGCAGUGGGGAAUAUUGCACAAUGGGCGAAAGCCUGAUGCAGCAACGCCGCGUGAGGGAUGACGGCCUUCGGGUUGUAAACCUCUUUUAGUAGGGAAGAAGCGAAAGUGACGGUACCUGCAGAAAAAGCACCGGCUAACUACGUGCCAGCAGCCGCGGUAAUACGUAGGGUGCGAGCGUUGUCCGGAAUUAUUGGGCGUAAAGAGCUCGUAGGCGGUCUGUCGCGUCUGCUGUGAAAACCCGAGGCUCAACCUCGGGCCUGCAGUGGGUACGGGCAGACUAGAGUGCGGUAGGGGAGAAUGGAAUUCCUGGUGUAGCGGUGGAAUGCGCAGAUAUCAGGAGGAACACCGAUGGCGAAGGCAGUUCUCUGGGCCGUAACUGACGCUGAGGAGCGAAAGCGUGGGGAGCGAACAGGAUUAGAUACCCUGGUAGUCCACGCCGUAAACGUUGGGCGCUAGAUGUGGGGACCAUUCCACGGUUUCCGUGUCGCAGCU